GUAAUACUCCCUUCGUCCGGAAAUAUUUGUCAUCAAAAUAAAUAGAAUAUAGAAUGAGACGUAUCUAGAUGUACUUUGGUUUUACAUACAUCUUUUUUUAUUCAUUUUAAUGACAAGUAUUUUCGGACGGAGGGAGUAUACU
This is a non-coding RNA of Triticum aestivum (bread wheat), 142 nucleotides long. NCBI's taxonomy places the organism in Eukaryota, Viridiplantae, Streptophyta, Magnoliopsida, Poales, Poaceae. The record is from Rfam.